Non-coding RNA from Paramisgurnus dabryanus, 518 nucleotides. NCBI's taxonomy places the organism in Eukaryota, Metazoa, Chordata, Actinopteri, Cypriniformes, Cobitidae. The record is from RefSeq and is a predicted model, not a curated record.
ACCUGCGCGGGGCCCUUAGAAUAGCCCUAAGUGGGCCCAUAAAGGGCCAUCGUAGGCUUACUUGCAGGGAAAGGUGUCAUCACUUCAACAUUUGGCAGAAUUCUGAAGCUCGAUUCCACUAAGAAGGUGACCAAAAAACUGGCUGGGGGUAUUGAGAACACGGCAACAUGGAUGACCAAUGUUGGGAACGAGCAUGGUCAGGUCCUCAACUCUGUCCUCACAACCGGCGAGGGGGCUGGACUGGAUGACCUGUGCCAAGGGAUCGUCCAACGGUACAGGGAUGCUGGUGAGCCACAGCCAGCCGCCAUCUAUGUGGAUAGAGACUGUUGCAGUGACAGAGAGGUGAGCCCAGUUCUCCAUUGGUUUCGGCCAUGGACGUCCACUGUGCGGUUGGAUGUGUUCCACUUUAUGAGGCGAUUCACCAAAGGUCUCACCACAGAACACCAUCCACUGUACAGUACGUUCUGCUCCAAAUUGUCGAGCUGCACUUUUGAGUGGGAUUACCAGGACAUCAGUAA